RNAcentral lists this ribosomal RNA (253 nucleotides) under uncultured bacterium. RNAcentral's name for it is "partial 16S ribosomal RNA". It matches the Rfam family "Bacterial small subunit ribosomal RNA", at positions 524 to 776 of the family's 1533-position model. The record is from RNAcentral.
UACGAAGGGGGCUAGCGUUGUUCGGAUUUACUGGGCGUAAAGCGCACGUAGGCGGAUUGUUAAGUGAGAGGUGAAAUCCCGGAGCUCAACUCCGGAACUGCCUUUCAUACUGGCAAUCUAGAGUCCGGAAGAGGUGAGUGGAACUCCUAGUGUAGAGGUGGAAUUCGUAGAUAUUAGGAAGAACACCAGUGGCGAAGGCGGCUCACUGGUCCGGUACUGACGCUGAGGUGCGAAAGCGUGGGGAGCAAAAGGG